UACGAUUAAAGCAUUAACAACCACCGGCUUAAAUAGGAACUCUCUUACUUUUUAAUAUUUUUAUCGAAAUUGGAUGUAAAUCAAAUCGCCGUGAUCCUACGUAUCGUAUGAAUUUUUAAUUUGAUAUUUUAACUCUUUUUGAAAAGCCUUAUAUCUGUCGAUAUCGUCAAGAGCGGUUCAUUAAGAUAAUAGAAGGAAAAACUUCAGUAUUGACGAGAAAAAUGUCCGGUUCAAGAGGUUUGCAAAUGAAUUCCGCCGCUUUGCUUUUGCUUACGAUAACUUUGUUUAUCGCUCUUUUCACCUCUUCGACGAAUGCAAUAAGAGUGCAGGCGUGGGAGACGAAAAGAUCUGCCGGCCCAUACCAACUCUUAACAACAGACGAACUGAUGGAAAAACUGGUGGCGAAGGCAAGGUACGAGCAAUCAAGACACCAUCCACGCGAACUGUACUGGUGAAAAGACAGUUGGAAAUCAAGAUAAGCGAAGGCAAAACACCGCAGAACAAUACCAAUAACUUAAAACGUGCAAAAGGACUGGCUAAGAAGGAUUCGUCAAAAAUGCAGUUUAAUGUUAAAUUAUUUCUCAAUAUAUGUCAAACUUGCUCCUAUUUUGAUUAAUUUCCUGCCAAGCUUUACCCAAAAAUGUUACAUGAAUGUUCACCAAUUUCAAGGUUAGCCACAAAGUGUACAUCAUAACAUCAUUGAUCAAUGAAUUUUGAAAUGAGGCAUUAAACGAGCAAAUAAAUAUGUAACAUAUCCACUAGUAUUUUCUUACCCGGCGAUUUGAGAAGAGCGACAACUGAAGUUCUAUUUCUACCAGAGCUGUGGAAAAUGCAACGCUUUAAUACGGUACAGUGUGUUUCGCUCACGCCACAUAAACCCGACGAGGUAACGUGACUGAUCUUUGGCUUAUAGAAUCGGCGGCGACUGCUUUUGACGCGGACCAGUACUGAAGUUAUGGACUUUUUUAUUCUCUUCGAUGAA
Molecule: long non-coding RNA, 982 nt
Organism: Symsagittifera roscoffensis
Lineage: Eukaryota; Metazoa; Xenacoelomorpha; Acoela; Convolutidae
Exons: 3
Source: RefSeq, a predicted model, not a curated record